This 377-nucleotide ribosomal RNA is filed under the name uncultured soil bacterium. RNAcentral describes it as "bacterial SSU rRNA". It matches the Rfam family "Bacterial small subunit ribosomal RNA", at positions 26 to 412 of the family's 1533-position model. The record is from RNAcentral.
AGAUUGAACGCUGGCGGCAUGCCUAACACAUGCAAGUCGAACGGGAGUAGCAAUACUCUAGUGGCGGACGGGUGAGGAAUACGUAGGGAUUUGCCCUUAAGUGGGGGAUAACCCGGGGAAACCCGGAUUAAUACCGCAUGACCUCGAAAGAGCAAAGUGGGGGAUCGCAAGACCUCACGCUUUUGGAGAAGCCUACGUCGGAUUAGCUAGUUGGUGAGGUAAUGGCUCACCAAGGCGACGAUCCGUAACUGGUCUGAGAGGAUGAUCAGUCACACCGGAACUGAGACACGGUCCGGACUCCUACGGGAGGCAGCAGUGGGGAAUAGUAGGACAAGUGGGCGCAAGCCUGGAUCCAGCAAUGCCGCGUGUGUGAAGAA